CCUACGGGAGGCAGCAGUGAGGGAUAUUGGUCAAUGGGGGAAACCCUGAACCAGCAACGCCGCGUGAGUGAAGACGGUUUUCGGAUUGUAAACCUCUGUCCUCUGUGAAGAUAAUGACUGUAGGAGAGUAUGAACCUCCCGCUAACAACGUGCCAGAAGCCGCGGGAUUACGUAGGGAGCAAGCGUUGUCCGGAUUUACUGGGUGUAAAGGGAUCGGAGGCGGGCCUGCAAGUCAGAAGUGAAAUCCAUGGGCUUAACCCGUGAACUGCUUUUGAAACUGUAGGGCUUGAGUGAAGUAGAGGCAGGGGGAACUCCAGGUGUAGCGGUGAAAUGCGUAGAGAUCGGGAGGAACACCAGUGGCGAAGGCAGCUUGCUGGGCUGUAACUGACGCUGAGGCACGAAAGCGUGGGUAGCAAACAGGAUUAGAUACCCGUGUAGUC
This 440-nucleotide ribosomal RNA is filed under the name uncultured bacterium. RNAcentral's name for it is "partial 16S ribosomal RNA". It matches the Rfam family "Bacterial small subunit ribosomal RNA", at positions 338 to 795 of the family's 1533-position model. The record is from RNAcentral.